UCGGAAGGAAAAGCCCUCGGUGAUACCGGCUCUGGAAAGUUAGCCAAGAAGAAAAGAGAGCAGGCCCAGUCCUCUCUGUUGGAUCUGAUGGAUGUACCAGAGGGGGAUUCGUCCGACCCCUGGGGGGCGGGAGGAGCUGCCGCCCCACCAGAUCCCUGGCAGGCCUACGGUGCAGCCCCAAAACCAGUGGCUCCGGUCGACCCCUAGGGCCCACCGUCUCUCCUCUGUUGCCCCCAUGAAGAGCAGUGAUCCCUG
Molecule: non-coding RNA, 255 nt
Organism: Salmo salar (Atlantic salmon)
Lineage: Eukaryota; Metazoa; Chordata; Actinopteri; Salmoniformes; Salmonidae
Source: RefSeq, a predicted model, not a curated record